GAUGAACGCUGGCGGCGUGCCUAAUACAUGCAAGUCGAGCGAACGGACGAGAAUCUUGCUUUUCUGAUGUUAGCGGCGGACGGGUGAGUAACACGUGGAUAACCUACCUAUAAGACUGGGAUAACUUCGGGAAACCGGAGCUAAUACCGGAUAAUAUUUUGAACCGCAUGGUUCAAAAGUGAAAGACGGUCUUGCUGUCACUUAUAGAUGGAUCCGCGCUGCAUUAGCUAGUUGGUAAGGUAACGGCUUACCAAGGCAACGAUGCAUAGCCGACCUGAGAGGGUGUUCGGCCACACUGGAACUGAGACACGGUCCAGACUCCUACGGGAGGCAGCAGUAGGGAAUCUUCCGCAAUGGGCGAAAGCCUGACGGAGCAACGCCGCGUGAGUGAUGAAGGUCUUCGGAUCGUAAAACUCUGUUAUUAGGGAAGAACAUAUGUGUAAGUAACUGUGCACAUCUUGACGGUACCUAAUCAGAAAGCCACGGCUAACUACGUG
Molecule: ribosomal RNA, 497 nt
Filed under: uncultured bacterium
Lineage: Bacteria
Description: partial 16S ribosomal RNA
Rfam family: Bacterial small subunit ribosomal RNA
Source: RNAcentral